AUUAAGUGGGCUAGAAGAAUUAGUAAUUUUGUAGAGUUUUGUUAAGUAGUUUUUAGAUAUGAAUCAAUUGUGUGUUUGUGAGGAUGCUGCAUAGAUAAGAGUGGGGCUAUGUAGAAUAGAUAUUUGUUUGUUUUUAUAAGAUAUUGGUAAAAUAUAUUAAUAGUCUAUAGAAUAGUCAGUUUAGAAGGACGGAUGAUUGAUUCAGUUAUUAAAAAUGAUUAUUAUAGGAUUACAGUUAGAAUCUGGAAAUCAGUAGCAAUUAUAUGGGAGUUGUAGAAGUUUGUUGGAAGGCCUGACUGUGAUAGUCAUGAAUCGGGAUUAAGCUUGGUGCUUCUUCUUUGUUUUUUUUUUUGUUUUGUUUUCUUUGUUGUUGAAGAGUAAUGGAUCAUUUUUGAAUACUAAGAAGUGAGUGUGUGGAAUAAAUCAGAGAUUGAUUUAUGAAUUAUUGAUUAUGUAAUUGGAGUACUUAGUAAUUGAAUUAUAUGAGAAGUUAUUGGAAGAUUGAUUAUGGAUGGAAGAUUAUGAUUGUUGUUUAUUAAGAGUUGUGUGUGUGUGUUUUGACAAAAGAAGUCUAUGAUUACAAGAAUUUUGUGAAUUUAGAUUGGUUGGAGUUAAGUUUGUUAUUUCUGAUGUUGGAUGGAAUUUAUUGAGUUUUGAACGGUCUUUUGAGAGUGUGGGGUUGCACAUUGUGGUUAUCAAUUGAUGAAGGAGUAUUAUUAAUGGGAGGAAGCAUUGUAGUAU
Molecule: long non-coding RNA, 741 nt
Filed under: Physcomitrium patens
Lineage: Eukaryota; Viridiplantae; Streptophyta; Bryopsida; Funariales; Funariaceae
Description: long non-coding RNA (PPAT_LNC013158)
Source: RNAcentral